Long non-coding RNA from Anolis sagrei ordinatus, 1999 nucleotides. RefSeq lists it as uncharacterized. The record is from RefSeq and is a predicted model, not a curated record. Lineage: Eukaryota; Metazoa; Chordata; Lepidosauria; Squamata; Anolidae.
GACUGUAGAGAGUAAUUGUAUUUACAGCUAAAGAGGAAUUAGGUCUGUCAUGUGACCACAUGUGUAUUUAUGCCAGAACUACUGUGGUGACCUUUUAAUAUCACAUUGUUUGUAACCUCUUUGUAGCAAAUAAUUGUUUGGGGGAAAAUAGAAGCGCUUUGACAGGGGGGAAGGCCUUUGUAUCCACAGAGUGGAAGAUUUCAUCCUUAGCAUACCAAUGAAGCAAGAAGUGAGCUGCACCGAGCGGGAGAGAACAUAUAAAUCUGACUUCCUUUGACCUUUAAUCUGGAACACCAAGAAGAGAAAUGCACUCGGAAAGUUGGUGUGUUGCUGGUUAGAGACUGAUAAGCUGUAAUAAAGGCCAUUAUCUCCUCCAGGCAUUCAUUCAGAAGACACACAGUAUCCUUAGCUGAGGUUGUUUUUGAAGGCAUGGAGAAAUAUAUUUGGAUAUCACCAGCAUACUGAUAACAUCCUGCCCCAUGGCUCCGGAUGAUCUCUCCCAGCGGUUUCCUGCCCUAAAAGCUGCACACUUUAUCUAUGUUCUUCUUGGCCAGUUGGUGACUGUAUGGAGGAUCAUUGGAUGGUAGAGGUAUUAACAAGCUGGUCAGAAACACGAGAAGCUCUGUGAUGUAGUGGUUUGAGAAUAGGACUCUAGAGAGCAUGGUUCUAAGAAAGCUCCCCAUAAACAAAAAUUACAAAGGAAACCCCAUUGUGGAUUCUCCUUAUGACUUGAAGGAAGAUAACAACAACAGGAACAUGAUAUGUUCAUGUCAGAAUUAUAUGGCCACCAGUGUAUAUGUCGCCUGGAAAAAUAGAAAAAUGAGAGAGUCCAAGAUAAGAGGCCACCACGACACCAACACCCUCCUCCAGGCUGCUGCGGGCCCAGGAGAGCCUUGCCAUCGCCCUUCUUCAGAUUUGUUGUUGUUGUUUGUUUGUUUUGGUAAUGGAUGUUUGCCACUUUGUUACUUUUGCCUGUAAACUGCCCUGAGUCCAUUUGGGAAGAUAGGGUCGGUUAUAAAUAUAUUAUUAUUAUUAUUAUUAUUAUUAUUAUUAUUAUUAUUAUUAUUAUUUUAGACUGGUCCUGUAAGCAAAAACCAACUCUUGCAUACCUGUAAUCUCUACCUGAAUUCAGGUAAGUAUAGAGAAUGUUCUCAUUUUAUAAAAAACAAGAAUAUUAAGAAGAUCCAAUUUAAUUGUUUAAAACUCUUUAUCCUCUCCUUUAAUCAAUAAUACAUACCAGACAUGACACAAAUAGGAGAGUCUUUUUAUGGCAUGAGGGAAAAAAUGUCACAGUAGUACAACCUGGCUGGUUUGAUGAAAAUCCCCUGUCUCCUAGUAAUAAGUCUCAUACCUUCAAUGUACUUGUGAAAUGCUUGCUGUGCAUGACAUAUAACAUAACUUAAUGGAGAUAAUUAAAUCUGUCUCAUCUAAAAUAACUGUCUCAAAUAGCACAAUUAAAAAAGGUGAAAUAAUAUCUGUAGGCAUAGUUGUCCUCCCAAGUGGGACACAUAAAAUGUGAAGAUGAAUUACUAUGUUGUGACAGUGAUAUUUUUAUUCUAGGAGAUUUAUGGGCUGUUGCUUUUAGGUUGCUGAUAGGAUUUCCAUUCCCAUUCAACAUGCUUCCCCCUUCAGUUUCCUUACUUGGUCAUUAUCAAAUACCUCCAUCUUGUUUAAAUAACAGAGUACUUAACCUCUGUUUGAUGUUGAGAAUGUAGGGCUGCUGAAAUUACAACAAAGAGGAUAUGAGCACGCAUGUGUGUGCACGUGGAGAACUUUAACUUUCCUUGAAAAUAUUGCUCAGCCAGCUCAUUUAUUUGCAUUCUGCUGAAACAGUUGUCUGUGUGUGUGAGGGGCGAGGGGAGAAUUUUUUCAUUUCUUUGAAUUUACAAUGAAUGUAUUGCCUUCCUAUGGUUAAUCUGGACAUCGCUAAAAUAAGUAGCUUUACUUAAAGUUUAAUUGAGCCCAAUGAGAUUUUUUCAAACACAUUAUGUAUGGGUUU